This 253-nucleotide ribosomal RNA is filed under the name uncultured bacterium. RNAcentral describes it as "partial 16S ribosomal RNA". It matches the Rfam family "Bacterial small subunit ribosomal RNA", at positions 524 to 776 of the family's 1533-position model. The record is from RNAcentral.
GACAGAGGGUGCAAACGUUGUUCGGAUUUACUGGGCGUAAAGCGUGUGUAGGCGGCUUUGUAUGUCGGAUGUGAAAGCCCACGGCUCAACCGUGGAAGUGCAUCCGAAACUGCAUAGCUUGAGUCCCGGAGAGGAAGGUGGAAUGCUUGGUGUAGAGGUGAAAUUCGUAGAUAUCGGGAGGAACACCAGUGGCGAAGGCGGCGAUCUGGGAAGAUACUGACGCUGAGGUGCGAAAGCGUGGGGAGCAAACAGG